This is a long non-coding RNA of Daphnia pulex (common water flea), 393 nucleotides long. RefSeq lists it as uncharacterized. NCBI's taxonomy places the organism in Eukaryota, Metazoa, Arthropoda, Branchiopoda, Diplostraca, Daphniidae. The record is from RefSeq and is a predicted model, not a curated record. The transcript has 3 exons.
ACAUGGAAGACAGUCGCUCUUUUCAGAGCGUGAUUGAAGUGAUUGACGAAUUUGGUAAGUUGGUCCACCCAUCAAUGUGUGAAGUUCCCUUGAUGGAUUUAGUCGUAAUAAUUAAAAAAAAAAAUUGUUUUUAUUGUUGGCACCAUGCUGUUGGCUGAGACACGAAUUUUGCUGAAAGACUAUUGGAAACCAUACUGUCGACCACGUCGAGAAGCUGAGUAACAUUCUGCUUUUACAAAGGCACCUCUUAAUAAAAGGAACUUAAGCCAUCCAAUAUAGGACUUCCAUCAAAUCGUGUAGGCUGCAUGGAAGUCGCAUUUACCUUUGCUGUGAACAUCAUGAACACAUACACUAUUUGAAGGUUCAUGUUUACGUAGCAGUGGUGUUGCUGUC